GAUGAACGCUGGCGGCGUGCCUAAUACAUGCAAGUCGAGCGAACAGACGAGGAGCUUGCUCCUCUGACGUUAGCGGCGGACGGGUGAGUAACACGUGGAUAACCUACCUAUAAGACUGGGAUAACUUCGGGAAGCCGGAGCUAAUACCGGAUAAUAUAUUGAACCGCAUGGUUCAAUAGUGAAAGACGGUUUUGCUGUCACUUAUAGAUGGAUCCGCGCCGCAUUAGCUAGUUGGUAAGGUAACGGCUUACCAAGGCGACGAUGCGUAGCCGACCUGAGAGGGUGAUCGGCCACACUGGAACUGAGACACGGUCCAGACUCCUACGGGAGGCAGCAGUAGGGAAUCUUCCGCAAUGGGCGAAAGCCUGACGGAGCAACGCCGCGUGAGUGAUGAAGGUCUUCGGAUCGUAAAACUCUGUUAUUAGGGAAGAACAAAUGUGUAAGUAACUAUGCACGUCUUGACGGUACCUAAUCGGAAAGCCACGGCUAACUACGUG
Molecule: ribosomal RNA, 497 nt
Filed under: uncultured bacterium
Lineage: Bacteria
Description: partial 16S ribosomal RNA
Rfam family: Bacterial small subunit ribosomal RNA
Source: RNAcentral